This is a non-coding RNA of Gossypium raimondii (Peruvian cotton), 131 nucleotides long. NCBI's taxonomy places the organism in Eukaryota, Viridiplantae, Streptophyta, Magnoliopsida, Malvales, Malvaceae. The record is from Rfam.
UGUUAAAAAUUCUAUCCACUUCUACUAUUAAAAAUUAGUAUAGCUGACAGAAUAACGAGAUAGGUACACGUGCGUCAUGCCAAUGUAUAGGGGCUAGUUUUUAACAGUAGAAAUCGGUGGAAGUUUUAAUA